This 800-nucleotide ribosomal RNA is filed under the name uncultured bacterium. RNAcentral's name for it is "bacterial SSU rRNA". It matches the Rfam family "Bacterial small subunit ribosomal RNA", at positions 8 to 798 of the family's 1533-position model. The record is from RNAcentral.
AGAGUUGAUCAUGGCUCAGAUUGAACGCUGGCGGCAGGCCUAACACAUGCAAGUCGAACGGUAACAGAAAGCAGCUUGCUGCUUUGCUGACGAGUGGCGGACGGGUGAGUAAUGUCUGGGAAACUGCCUGAUGGAGGGGGAUAACUACUGGAAACGGUAGCUAAUACCGCAUAACGUCGCAAGACCAAAGAGGGGGACCUUCGGGCCUCUUGCCAUCGGAUGUGCCCAGAUGGGAUUAGCUAGUAGGUGGGGUAAAGGCUCACCUAGGCGACGAUCCCUAGCUGGUCUGAGAGGAUGACCAGCCACACUGGAACUGAGACACGGUCCAGACUCCUACGGGAGGCAGCAGUGGGGAAUAUUGCACAAUGGGCGCAAGCCUGAUGCAGCCAUGCCGCGUGUAUGAAGAAGGCCUUCGGGUUGUAAAGUACUUUCAGCGGGGAGGAAGGGAGUAAAGUUAAUACCUUUGCUCGUUGACGUUACCCGCAGAAGAAGCACCGGCUAACUCCGUGCCAGCAGCCGCGGUAAUACGGAGGGUACAAGCGUUAAUCGGAAUUACUGGGCGUAAAGCGCACGCAGGCGGUUUGUUAAGUCAGAUGUGAAAUCCCCGGGCUCAACCUGGGAACUGCAUCUGAUACUGGCAAGCUUGAGUCUCGUAGAGGGGGGUAGAAUUCCAGGUGUAGCGGUGAAAUGCGUAGAGAUCUGGAGGAAUACCGGUGGCGAAGGCGGCCCCCUGGACGAAGACUGACGCUCAGGUGCGAAAGCGUGGGGAGCAAACAGGAUUAGAUACCCUGGUAGUCCAC